CCUACGGGAGGCAGCAGUGGGGAAUCUUGCACAAUGGGGGAAACCCUGAUGCAGCGACGUCGCGUGAGUGAUGAAGUAUUUCGGUAUGUAAAGCUCUUUUAGCAGGGAAGAAAAUGACGGUACCUGACUAAGAAGCCCCGGCUAACUACGUGCCAGCAGCCGCGGUAAUACGUAGGGGGCAAGCGUUAUCCGGAUUUACUGGGUGUAAAGGGAGCGGAGACGGGGGUGCAAGCCAGAUGUGAAAGUCCGGGGCUCAACCCCGGGACUGCAUUUGAAACUGUGCUGCUAGAGUGUCGGAGAGGCAGGCGGAAUUCCUAGUGUAGCGGUGAAAUGCGUAGAUAUUAGGAGGAACACCAGUGGCGAAGGCGGCCUGCUGGACGAUGACUGACGUUGAGGCUCGAAAGCGUGGGGAGCAAACAGGAUUAGAUACCCGAGUAGUC
Molecule: ribosomal RNA, 440 nt
Filed under: uncultured bacterium
Lineage: Bacteria
Description: partial 16S ribosomal RNA
Rfam family: Bacterial small subunit ribosomal RNA
Source: RNAcentral